Molecule: unclassified non-coding RNA, 1879 nt
Filed under: Aplysia californica (California sea hare)
Lineage: Eukaryota; Metazoa; Mollusca; Gastropoda; Aplysiida; Aplysiidae
Description: uncharacterized LOC101863566, transcript variant X1
Source: RNAcentral
CAGUUAAGCGUCGAGGGGAGAUGCAGUUUUCUAUGGGCAUCUACUUAAUGGGGAGGAAUCGGCCCACCCUCAACCUACACUGAGACAUCCACUGUUUACAAGCUGAGCUUACCUAUUCUUGGUGUUUGGGAGAGACAACAGCUGCAGCCAAGGGAAUGUAAUGACCCUUGACCUUAUUGACCCAUUUGACCGCCAUCCUGCUCAUGUGAUGGCCCAACAAGACAGACGACCGCUAGCCUUCUGACACCCGUACCUCAGGGACAGCUUGACCCAGCAGGAGCAGGAACCUGGCCAGAAGCUGCCUCCCAUUAGCAGAGGUGCCCGUGCAGUCACACAGAGCCCACUGGUCAUCACUUCAUCAUCCUCUUUUGAGCUACCCAGAGAGUGGAGGGUCUGGUAUGGACUCUGGCCCUCUAGACUGGCCAGUGGGUGACCGUCGUAGCGGAGACAUACACCUGCCUUUUAUCGCAGACUUGUACGAUAUAACUACAGGAAGAACCAGCACCAGACACGGCGUCCACUCACUCCCUCCUGCUCUCUCACAGCUGGACAACUCUGUUGGUCACAUCAAGGACAGGCUCAGGCUCUUGGCUAGAGAAUGACCCAGAGAUUCGACAAAGAGAGGAAGCACACUCAAGCCUUGAGGGCCGCACACCAGGAAGAGGUGGAGAGAGCCCGACGAAGGCUGCGAGCUGAGCAGAUGGAAACUCUCAACGUUAAAUCUUAUUAUUUUUUUGUGACUCCAAGCUUGACACUGAGGUGGCUCAUACAACAAGGGAUAAAAUGGCUAUACUGGAUUUGUCACGGAGACUUCAGAACACACUGGAUCAGCACAUUGGCAAAAUAUGAUCAGAGCUUGUUUGACUUAAUGAGAAACAAAACUGACCAACAGAAACAAUGAAGGGUUAGAGAAUUGUAUUCCUUUGACUUUUGAUUUGAAGAGAAGCGUAUCAGUACAACAGUUGUGGUAAUAAAGUGCUGGAAAGAAAAAAGAAAGACAAAGGGAUAAAGAGUUUUGCUUGAGUUUAAAUGACUAGCAUAUCAAGACAUUUUAAAGAUAAAAAGACACUACGCAGAGACAGGAAAGAAUACCUUUCAAUGAAAUCUGAUAGACUAGAAGUUUUGAGUGAUGUUAUGGUGCUUUCUUUUGCAUGCAGCAUACAUGCAUAGUGAAACUCUUUCAGUCACUCAACCACACUGACCCAGUAAAGGAAUUAUUGCUGGUUAGCAUUGAACCCAUGAUACAGUUGAGGCCACAUAUAUAUUAUAUUUGUAACGAAAUAGAUUCGAAAAAAAUGAAUUAUUGUUUAAAAUGAAUUACUGCUUUCGUCCUGAUGUUUCCACUGUUUAAAAUUGAAGUGGGUAAUACGAGUGCUAUGGACCAAUGGAAAGUGAACUUUUUGUAGUCAAUGCCUCCCCACCCCUGGUUUCAGCCCCUUACAGAAUCAACAGACGGAAACAAAAGUAGGACCUAUCAGUGGCGCCUUCCAACCACUUUCUGGAAGUAGAAGACAAAAGCUGGUUACCGAUUGAGGAAUGAUGACUGUACUGCACGUACAUACCUAUUGUAAUAAAAAUUAUACACUUACAUUCUCCAGAGCUUUCUGACUUAAAGGACUGAAGGGAUAUUGGAUUGCCCCUUCAGACAAGAUGUCAGUGCCACAUCAGCAUGACACUGUUAAUGUUAUUUGAAAACAUAAUUCUCCCCUUUCUAUUUUUUUCUUGUUAUGGGAGCAGGCAUGAUUAUGCUAAUAGUGUGAAUAUAAUGGCGAAUUAUAUUGAUUUUUGGUUUUCAUAAGCAGCCUCCAUCUUCUUUUUCCGUGAAUACUCCAAAAAUUACACAUGCAAAAUGAUUGAAUAAUAAAAUCUAUCAAGCUUA